Long non-coding RNA from Equus asinus (donkey), 4922 nucleotides. Lineage: Eukaryota; Metazoa; Chordata; Mammalia; Perissodactyla; Equidae. The record is from Ensembl.
GAUCAAUAGCUUGUGAGAGGCAGUUUACUGGAACCUGGAGGUUCACACAGACGAGUCGAGGCAGCCCAAUUUGUUCUCCUCGGAGCUCAAAACCACUUCUUUCAGGCAAUGAUCUGAAGAGGGACACCUGGCCCUGAGACCAAACUGAAUGUUCAUCCCUCUAAGUAAAUGCUUCCAAUAGAUCAAAUGGUGGGAGCCCACAGAGAGCAAAGAAUGCCGAGACUAACACACUGGUGUGAUGGCCACGCCCACCUCCAGUGUGGACCCCACCUCCCCAGCAGGACAGCAUUUAACAAGCCAUGAGACGCUUGUUUUCACUGGUGAUUAAAGUAUGAGAGACGCCUUCUGCCUUCUUGCCAUUGGUUAUUUUUCUCCCACUUCCUGAGCUGGGCUGAGGAGAGACAGAAAAGAAGAGGAAGGGGAAACCCAGAAAGACAUGAGAAGUUCCUCCCAUCCUUGAACAGAUUUCUGUUCUGCUCUUGCAGCUGUGAAGCCAGGGCCCAGCAUGGCUGCCCUGCUCCACUCCCGUUCUAGUCAUGUUCUCUCUAAGACUGACAUUCUUCUGGACAGCCCUUGUUCUUUUCCUACUGCGUCUGAAGCACUUUGUCCAUCUGUGGGAGCAAAGGAAACAAGCAGUUAACACUCCAGCGCCUUCACCAGGAGAGCCCCACCUGCGCCCUUCUUUGCUAGGAGAGGAGAUGAGAACUUGGGAAAUGGCGCCCUACCAGCUUGGCAUGCAGAGGAAUCCGAGAGGAAGAGCUUCCUACUGGGAUUAAUCUCUGAGCGCCUCACCGUCCCAGGCUGGUUCCCUUCAGCCUGCCCACAGCUCCGGACAUCCUCCAUUCCUUCAGAUCUCUGCACUGGAACCAGCUCAGUGGAGUGUGUUUCCUGCUGGGACCCUGGCUGAUCAGUACCUGAUGGUCAUUUUGUGUCUUUCCAGCUGUCUUUUGUGCUAGUUCUCAAACUCGUGCCUUCUCCCAACUGCCCCCUUGGCUGUGGGCGCCAGCAUUUCCCAAGGACUGGGGAGUGACUUUUAGUCAUCUGUGACUGGUUGCUCCCAUUCCCUGAUCCCCCGCAAUCUGACAAGUCCCCACCCCCUGAGACUCUAACCCCACAGAAUCCCUCAUGCCCUCCCCCCCUUUCCCUUCUCAUGGCUUCUCCUUCCCUUUCACUCCCUUCUCACUGCCCACUCAAAGGGCUAUGACAAGACCAUCCUAACUAGACCCCCAGCCUCAAGGCUCCUUCUCUGAAUUCCUAAUUCGGCCUACGAUUUGCCGCCAGAUUAAUCUUCCGAAAGCUGGGGCUUUCACAUUUUUUGGCCAUGAUUCACAAUAAGCAAUGUAUUUUACUUCACAACCCAGCACACUCGUACAAAACUCACAAGGCAGUACUGCACUCUGAUAUUUUUUUAAGAUUUUAUUUUCCUUUUUCUCCCCAAAGCCCCCCUGUACAUAGUUGUAUAUUUUAGUUGUGAGUCCUUCUAGUUGUGGCAUGUGGGACGCCGCCUCAGCAUGGCCUGAUGAGCGGUGCCAUGUCGGUGCCCAGGAUCCGAACCGGCGAAACCCUGAGCCACCAAAGCGGAGUGCGAAUUUAACCACUCGGACACCGGGCUGGCCCCCCCUUUUUUUUGUAUUUAAGGUUUUUAUGAUGUUUGUUUAAUUAAUGACCCACGAAAUUGAGUUUGUGGCCCACUAAUGGGUCGUAUCACACAGUUUGAAAAGACUGCCCCACCACAGCUCUAAUUAUGUCAUACCCCAGUGAAAGCUUUCUGUUGUCCCCAUUGUUGACUGAAUUUAGUACAAGUUGUUUAACCUGGCAUUUAAAGUUUCUAAGGAGGACCCCAAUUUGACUGUCUAAAGAUUUCCCUCCCUACCUCCAUUUAUGUCAUUUAAACUCUCUGGGCCUUAGGAGUCUAAUAUAUAGGAUGGGAAUGAAAAUAUUUCCCCAGCCUGAAGGAGUUGAAGACUAGAUAAUCCAUUUAGUUUCCUCUAUAAGAACUAUGAUUCUGGGAUUGUAAGUGCCCAGUAUCCAGAAACCAAACAUGUCUCCUCUCUGGUCUCCAUAUCCUCCCAUGUCCAUGUCUUGGUUCAUUUGUCCUUUGGCCAUCUUCCUCUAUCUCCCUCUAUCUUUCAUGUUAAAUCCCGUCAAAUUUCAACAAGAGCAAAGGAUAGAGGGAAGAAAAGUCAGAACAUACUCAAGGAAUGCAACUAGUCCUCUAAGGGUGGAACCACUAAGGUUACACGCAGGUGAGAAGGAAGAGAUGGAACUAAAGAGGCGGUCUAGCUAGAUCAGCCAAGCCAAAAGCCUCAGGCUGAGAUUUCAACUGAAUUUAGAAGUCGUAGGGAUUCCGUUGAUAGUUUCUGAGCAGAUGUGACAUGAUCAAAGGUGAGGCUUAAGAAGACUGACUUGCCUUGAGCUGGGGACAUCAGAGGUUGUUUCAAACUUUUUUAAAAUUGCUUUUUCUCCCCAAUCCCCCCAGUACAUAGUUGUAUAUUUCAGUUGUGGGUCCUUCUUGUUGUGGCAUGUGGGACGCCACUUCAACAUGGCCUGACGAGUGGUGCUAUGUCCUCGCCCAGGAUCCGAACCGGUGAAACCCUGGGCUGCGGAAGCGGAGCGCCAACCUAACCACUCGGCCAUGGGGCCGGCCCCCAGAGGUUAUUUCAAUAGCAAAACUGACACAGCCUGAACGACACUGGGAUCAGGACAGGCCAGACCAGGGAUGGAUCCUAGAAAUCCAGACAGGCAGCACCUGGGAGGUUGUCACAGCCACCGAAGGGCCAUCCGGGGGAGCAGAAGGAAUAUCGUGUCUAAGGGGCAGACUCGAGCAGAGGGCCAAGUAGGUGGCUGGCUCCCGCCCACUCUGGCAACGUUGCACAGGGACACAGCCAGGAGCUGGGGCUUGGGAGCAGGAGGCCGGUCCCUGAGGGCUGGUGAGAGCCAAGCUUCUGGCAGAAAAGAAACGGAAUCACCCUUUCCUCAGUCCUGCAUGUGACAGUUUCUCUGCCCGCCCUUUUGCACACUGGUCUAUCUGACUCCAAAGCUGGAAGUCUGAAUGACACUAAACAACCACCAAUGUCUCUGAGGACAAGCAGCAAGUUCUCUCUCCUCCUGGGCCCUGGCACAUAUUUAUACAGAGUAAGCCUGGGUAAAUAUUUGUCGGAUUAAAUUGAAAAGGGGUUGUCCUUCCUAUCACCCCCCCACAUAUCACUGCCUGUUGUCUGCCUUCGGUGGGAGUUCAUGGUGUCCUGGGCCUUACGCUGUGUAACUGCAAAAACCUGAAAACCAAAGCUCUGUGGCUGAUUAUACUGAUACUGUGAAUUCAUUAACCUAAAGGGAUUUCUAGAUGAAAGGCUUAAGGUGCAGCUUCAAUGACUGAUGAUGUGUGCACGGCCAAGGGACAAGUGAGUGUUACUGUCAUCUUUCAUCCCAGAGGCCUUGGGGAGCAGUGAGAGCUCAGCUUGGCAAUGUGGUGAAAUGUGAACGAUAAAUCAUCGUGAGAUUUGUUUUCCCCUCGUGCAGAGGGAGAAACCAGCACUAUUAUUAUUUCUCAUUUCACGUGCUCUCUUCCAGGUGUAUCAUGAACAUCUGGGUCCCCGCUGCCCCAAGGUGCUCAGUAGAUGGGUAGUGCCACUCAAAGAGCAGCCAUGGAGGGAGGAAGCCGAGUCUCGGGCUGGAGCUGCCAGGAUCUGUGUGGGUCCCACUGAAGUCCGGCAGCCCCGCCAGGAGUGCAAGAAGCUGGCUGUGGUCCCUCUGGAGCAGUGCACUCCUGGGGUAAACAAGCAGUGUUUGCCAGGAAAAGGGUAUGGAACUGUUUCUCUUGGUAAAGUCUCCAAAAACACGUAUUAUUUGGAAUCCCUGGCUCCUAGUUAUUCAAACACUUACCAAAAGCACCUCUGCCAGCAGGGAAGUAGAGGAAAGGCAGGCAAUUACACUUCUGAGGCUCCUAGGAUAUUAAAAAAAGGUAUAAAUGGCUAAACAGGAUUUAAAAACCAUAGUAUAUUUUAAUGUUUGUGUUUUUAAAAUUAAAGUUGUAUGAUAAAUAUUGUCUUCUUUCCCUCCUGUUAGGAAAACUUUGCGUCUGAAUCAUAACCUCAUUGGCAGAUAGCUCAAAAGUCUAAAUUUGAGGCUCUUCAUGAAUACGGGACCUGGAUGUCUUGCCCCCUAAUCCUACCCACGGUUCCCCCCUUGUCUCCUACCAGGCCCUGAGGUCCAGAAUACAGCUCAUUAUGGUUUUGACUAAUACCAGACUGUCCACUGCUCCAUUCAACCACAGAGGCUCCCUUUGACCUCAAAUCGAGCCUGAGUUUCCAUCAGCCCCGGGGCUGCCCCGCAUGCUAGACUCUGUCCUUGUCUGAAGCAAGUCUCCUGGGUCGUGAGAGCCUUUGCUGCAAACUCAGCCAAUAAACCAUGCUACUUGGCUUGAGUUCUCUCUCUGAUUUCCCCACAUGCACUAAAAUUGUGAGAACUCUUUAUUUCUAAAUGCUCGGACACGUUCACCUGUAGCAACAGGGAAAGAAGGAAUUCCCCAGAGACACUCUUUCGCUUGGGCACAUGACAAUUGCCUUCAAACCCAUGGGGCCAAGAAUAGGAGGUGCCCGGACGUCCUAAAACAGAAGCGCCUGAUUUGGUUUCCAUUGUAAUAAUACGAGGCACCGCCAGCACCCUCUUUUGAAAAAUGGCCAAAGGGACUUAACCCAAAACAUUAGCACAUCUGCCUACGAGAUUUUGACUUUAGGGAGCAAUGGUCAGAGGGACCCGUUUCUUCGGAAUGGGUGAAUCUGCUUCUUCUCCAGCUUUGGGGGGACCCAAGCUGGGGGCUCCUACAAGGCCAACUGACUUCCAAGUCAAAAUCUAGUUGGGUGUUCCUUACUGAGACCUUUCCUCUAAGAAUUUCAAGUCUAUUUUAAAAGAAUUAAGGAAUU